CAGACAUCACCUGGAGAGAAAGGCUGGAACUGACACACCUGAGCCAUUAAGAAUUCUGUCCUUACAGAAAAGGUACUUUGGAGCAGACCUGCAGGAACAGUGAAUGGAUCACACCACCUGAUACUGUCUUAAUGCCAUCAAUACAACAUGAAGCCACACAUCUGGAUGAUUUGGAUUUUGCUGGUGGGCUCCCUGUGGUUUGUUUCCCUUUCAAGCAGUCCUAGUCCUGUCAAAACACCAGAUAAUUUCGAAAACUGCUUCAAAAAAACGGAAACAACCAUUGUUGUUGUUGAUAACUUCUACGGAUGCAUCACAGCAUCAAAGUGGAACUACAAUGGAGACUCCUGCAUAAUAUUUGUUAAGAGAAAUAUAACGAAAUCAAUGUUGAAACUGGAAACAUGGCCUCAAAUAGAAAAAGAUAAAGAUGAUUUUAGGGUGUACCUGUCCAAAUGGCAUACCAAUCGGGAUAUAAACAUGUACAUUCUCAAUGGGAAAAACUGCAGCGCCUACCAAUCUGUAGACAGAGAUACAAAGUGCAGAAAUUUCACAAAUGACCCGUGCGAGAUAAGAUGUGUGCCUCUGAACAGCGUGUGCAGCAAAAGCACCUACGAUGCAGCGAGCUGUGGUAACAAGAACAACAUAAUGGACAGGUAUCUAAUCAACAUAACAACACCAACCAUCCAAUGCAUCAACUGUGACAAUCCAGUGAAAAAACCUGAUGGUGAAAUGGUUCUGAACAUAACAAUUAAAACUGACAACGGAGGAAGCGUUGAUGCUUCACAAGCUGCUGAGCUAGUGAGAGAUAUGAGCAACCUCGUCAAGAACAUGAAUGGAUCCUCAGCUGAACUGAAGGUUGGAGCAGGAAUCACCGGAGUCUUGGUGAAGCAGAGAGAGCCUGAGGACGUGUCUGAAGUGUCCUUUGCUUAUACGAAACCCAACCAGAGUAUAAAUAUUAUAGAAGACAGAAACAGUCUGGAUGGAUUCUCUAGAAGUGUCACAGUCUCAAAGGAAGCUUUUAAAAAAUCGCAAGCUACAAACACCACCCAACCAUUUGCAGCUGUUUUCCGAUUCACUAACCUGGCUAAGGCAAGGGAAAACAAACAUAAUUUUUUAAUCUGAUAUGAUGAAUUUAUAUAUACAGACUGGUGUUUGUGUUGAUAUUUUUGUCUUAUAUUCCAGGAUGAGAACAACAGCACUGUGUUAGGUA
Long non-coding RNA from Parambassis ranga (Indian glassy fish), 1207 nucleotides. The record is from Ensembl. NCBI's taxonomy places the organism in Eukaryota, Metazoa, Chordata, Actinopteri, Ambassidae.